GCUACGUGGUAGCGAGCAGCGGUGGUAACGCGGAGUGGGAGAAGUGUGGCCGGAAGAAGUGGGCGUAAGGGUGGUGGAGGAGGGUUGGCAAGUCAGGGGUGAAAGCACGGGGCGCAACCCCGGAAGUGCACGUGAGACUAGGGGGCUUGGGUGAUGAAGAGGAGAGCGGAAUUGCAGGUGUAUGGGUGAAAUGCGUAGAUAUCGGGAGGAACACCAGUGGCGAAGGCGGCUCUCUGGGCAGAUACUGACGCUGAGACGCGAAAGCAUGGGGAGCAAACAGGAUUAGAUACCCGAGUAGUC
RNAcentral lists this ribosomal RNA (300 nucleotides) under uncultured Methanocaldococcus sp. Its description in RNAcentral is "bacterial SSU rRNA". The stretch from base 60 to 300 matches the Rfam family "Bacterial small subunit ribosomal RNA", at positions 555 to 795 of the family's 1533-position model. The record is from RNAcentral. Lineage: Archaea; Methanobacteriati; Methanobacteriota; Methanococci; Methanococcales; Methanocaldococcaceae.